CUAUCCAUUGCACCCUACCUGCCUCUGACAUGAUUCGUUAAAGGCAAAUGAAGAUCUGGAAUCCAGAUUAAUUGUGGAACAAAGAACAAACUUCUUUUAAAUUUUCAGAUUUGUGAAGAGUUGGCAGCAGCAAUGUAUUAACAACUACUGGAGACAGAGGAAACUUAGAGGCAAGAAUAUGCAGAAAAGUGAUCCUGGCUCAACCAGGUAAGCACGGAGAAAGAAUUGGGAUACAGAGAGACAAGGAAGAGGAAGAGAAGGAGGAGGAGCAGGAGGAAGAGGAAGAAGAUCAUGGUGGUGAUGGCAACAAACUAAAGAUAGAAGAAUGUAGAGACAGAAUAAGAAACAGUCCCUCAGACUAAGAAGUUAUACAGACAGGCUCCUGUACUCAGUAAUCCUUGAAAGCACUCAUGCGAGUCACCUUUGCUCCAAGUGCAUUUUUGCAAACAGCUCUGUGAACCUCACUAGAGCAGUACUAUAUCAUCUCAUUGCAAAAAAGACUUUAAGAGAAGGGAGAUCUCUCAUACAGGAACUAGUCAGGACUUCUAAUUCUACCAUAAUAUUAAAGAUUCCACUUUGAAUCGUGUCUGGAAUGUUCUUCAAAGUAAAUAUAUGAAGGAAAACUUAGAGGAAAUGGUGGUCUGGUAUCAUGUUGGCAGAAAUAUUAUCGUUUUCUUCUGAUAUAGAAUCUGGAGUCUUUGGAAUAAGAACUUUUCCCUUUGGGGAAUGCUUUGGCAUCCCCAGCACUGAUUCCAGAAAUGAAUCACAGAUCUAGAGACCUCAAUAUUCUUCUAGUCCAAUCCCCUCAUUUUAAAGAUAAAGAAAAUUAGGUCUAGGAAGGCUCAGGGACUUGACCGAAGUCACACAGGUAAUGUCAGCAGUGGGAUUUCAACCCAGUCCUUUCACUCCAGAGUUAGUGCUUUUUCAACUGUACUUUACUCCUUUGUACAUGUGCAAAAAUAUGAGUGAGAUAGAACACUGGAUGAAAGUUGACAAGGAAGUUCCUAUCUGAGCCAUUAUUGCUGUGGUGCAGAAAUCACCAAUCAUGUUUUGAAUGGUGCUGGCAAAUCAAAGAACCCAGAGAGCAAGAAUAAAGAAGCAGAACAUUUCUUAAAGCCAAAGGAGAUUUGACCUUUGACUUGCUAAACAGUCUUGUAGAAAUAGAGGCAUAUUCUGUUGCCCAAGAGAUUAAAAAGCUGAUUUUUCUCUUCCUUUAAUGAAAAAAGGCAAGUGAGCAAAAAUCAAUGUGAUGUGGAAAAAUUCUUAAAAAAAAGAAAUCAGGUUUCAAGACUGCUGCUAACAUCAGUGUCCAUUCAACCCUCUUCUAUCUAUGUGUACACAUUACAAUAAGAUGAUAACUCCAAAUAAUCGAUCAAAGGUUAAAUUAUGCUCAACAUAUUCUGCUUAAACGGCAAGGUAAGUCUAUAGCUAAUUUUAGAAAGGAUUCCAACACAAAUAAGUUUAAAGUUCUAACUCUUAAAGGGUUAUCCUUCAGCUAAUUAGAAAAUCUUGGUAUCGAGAACAACUCAAUCCUUCUCAAGUUCUACAUAAUUGCAUCUUAGUGUAUGAUUUUUAUUGCUACAAUUCCAAACCUAAGCAGUUGCCUUAUUUAUCUUUAGCAGAAUGGGAAAGCUGCUGGUAGUCCCAGAAUCUCAGAGCUGGAAGGGUCCUCAAAGGCCACUCAGUCCAAUCUGUGCCUGAACAAGAAUUCCCUUCAUAAUAUACUGGUCUCCAACAAAAUCUUCUAAUUCUCUUCUCUUCUACUGCGUGUUGUAGUUCAUUUUCCUUUCCCACACAUGCUAGGAAGCAAAACAACAUAUCAAAGAAUGAACACAACUGAGUGGAUAACAAAUAAACUUA
This is a non-coding RNA of Phascolarctos cinereus (koala), 1860 nucleotides long. The record is from RefSeq and is a predicted model, not a curated record. Lineage: Eukaryota; Metazoa; Chordata; Mammalia; Diprotodontia; Phascolarctidae.